GCAUAUCAAUAAGCGGAGGAAAAGAAACCAACCGGGAUUGCCUUAGUAACGGCGAGUGAAGCGGCAAAAGCUCAAAUUUGAAAUCUGGUACCUUCGGUGCCCGAGUUGUAAUUUGGAGAGGGCAACUUUGGGGCCGUUCCUUGUCUAUGUUCCUUGGAACAGGACGUCAUAGAGGGUGAGAGUCCCGUGUGGCGAGGAGUGCGGUUCUUUGUAAAGUGCCUUCGAAGAGUCGAGUUGUUUGGGAAUGCAGCUCUAAGUGGGUGGUAAAUUCCAUCUAAAGCUAAAUAUUGGCGAGAGACCGAUAGCGAACAAGUACAGUGAUGGAAAGAUGAAAAGAACUUUGAAAAGAGAGUGAGAAAGUACGUGAAAUUGUUGAAAGGGAAGGGCAUUUGAUCAGACAUGGUGUUUUGUGCCCUCUGCUCCUUGUGGGUAGGGGAAUCUCGCAUUUCACUGGGCCAGCAUCAGUUUUGGUGGCAGGAUAAAUCCAUAGGAAUGUAGCUUGCCUCGGUAAGUAUUAUAGCCUGUGGGAAUACUGCCAGCUGGGACUGAGGACUGCGACGUAAGUCAAGGAUGCUGGCAUAAUGGUUAUAUGCCGCCCGUCUUGAAACACGGACC
This 615-nucleotide ribosomal RNA is filed under the name uncultured yeast. RNAcentral describes it as "eukaryotic LSU rRNA". It matches the Rfam family "Eukaryotic large subunit ribosomal RNA", at positions 38 to 667 of the family's 3401-position model. Lineage: Eukaryota; Fungi. The record is from RNAcentral.